This 253-nucleotide ribosomal RNA is filed under the name uncultured bacterium. RNAcentral describes it as "partial 16S ribosomal RNA". It matches the Rfam family "Bacterial small subunit ribosomal RNA", at positions 524 to 776 of the family's 1533-position model. The record is from RNAcentral.
UACGGAGGAUGCAAGCGUUAUCCGGAAUGAUUGGGCGUAAAGCGUCCGCAGGUGGCUGUGUAAGUCUGCUGUUAAAUAGUGAGGCUCAACCUCAUAAAGGCAGUGGAAACUACACGGCUAGAGUGCGUUCGGGGCAGAGGGAAUUCCCAGUGUAGUGGUGAAAUACGUAGAGAUUGGGAAGAACACCAGUGGCGAAGGCGGCUAUCUGGACGGUUACUGACGCUAAGACGCGAAAGCGUGGGGAGCAAACAGG